Molecule: long non-coding RNA, 293 nt
Organism: Trichosurus vulpecula (common brushtail)
Lineage: Eukaryota; Metazoa; Chordata; Mammalia; Diprotodontia; Phalangeridae
Exons: 3
Source: RefSeq, a predicted model, not a curated record
UGUCACCCACCCUAACCUUCCCUAGCGCAAAGGAUCCAAGAAAUCUUUGCACUCCCAGCCCCUCCUCCUAAAGCUAGAGAUAAAGCUUUCAAAUUCCCUGGGGAGAGAAGUCUCCAGCCUGGUUUACAGUAUGUCAUCUGGAGAUGAGCAAGAAAGCACAAAUGAUGGGGAAACUGAGGCCCAUUUGAACUCAGGUCUUCCUGACUCCAGGACCAGCACUCUAGCCACUGCUUCUGGAGGUGAAAAACUGAGGCUCUGGGUGAGUCAAAGAGAAGAGCCUCCUGUGAUCUUAA